GCAGUCGACGAUGACUUUUGUGCUUGCACAAGAUGAUUAGUGGCGAACGGGUGAGUAACACGUGAGUAACCUGCCCCUGACUUCGGGAUAAGCCUGGGAAACUGGGUCUAAUACCGGAUAUGCACCGUGGACCGCAUGGUCCUUGGUGGAAAGACUUGUUGGUCAGGGAUGGACUCGCGGCCUAUCAGCUUGUUGGUGAGGUAAUGGCUCACCAAGGCGACGACGGGUAGCCGGCCUGAGAGGGUGACCGGCCACACUGGGACUGAGACACGGCCCAGACUCCUACGGGAGGCAGCAGUGGGGAAUAUUGCACAAUGGGCGAAAGCCUGAUGCAGCGACGCCGCGUGAGGGAUGACGGCCUUCGGGUUGUAAACCUCUUUCAGUAGGGAAGAAGCGAAAGUGACGGUACCUGCAGAAGAAGCGCCGGCUAACUACGUGCCAGCAGCCGCGGUAAUACGUAGGGCGCAAGCGUUAUCCGGAAUUAUUGGGCGUAAAGAGCUCGUAGGCGGUUUGUCGCGUCUAUCGUGAAAGUCCGAGGCUCAACCUCGGAUCUGCGGUGGGUACGGGCAGACUAGAGUGAUGUAGGGGAGACUGGAAUUCCUGGUGUAGCGGUGAAAUGCGCAGAUAUCAGGAGGAACACCGAUGGCGAAGGCAGGUCUCUGGGCAUUAACUGACGCUGAGGAGCGAAAGCAUGGGGAGCGAACAGGAUUAGAUACCCUGGUAGUCCAUGCCGUAAACGUUGGGCACUAAGUGUGGGGGACAUUCCACGUUUUCCGCGCCGUAACUAACGCAUUAAGUGCCCCGCCUGGGGAGUACGGCCGCAAGGCUAAAACUCAAGGAAUUGACCGGGGGCCCGCACAACCGGCCGGAACAUGCCGGAUUAAUUCGAUGCAACGCGAAAGAACCUUACCAAGGCUUUGACAUGGUGCCAGAACCGACCGUGGAAACACCGGUUUCCCCAUUUGGGGGCUGGUUUCACAGGGUG
RNAcentral lists this ribosomal RNA (985 nucleotides) under Arthrobacter sp. RNAcentral's name for it is "bacterial SSU rRNA". It matches the Rfam family "Bacterial small subunit ribosomal RNA", at positions 57 to 1041 of the family's 1533-position model. Lineage: Bacteria; Bacillati; Actinomycetota; Actinomycetes; Micrococcales; Micrococcaceae. The record is from RNAcentral.